GAGCAUCAAACUAAAUAUACGUACUGUGCAUUCUAUGUUGCUACACACUGUUCAGUUUUUUGUUAAUUUUUAGAAUUAAAAAAGAAGUAAGCGAUUCACAUGUUGGAACUGCUACAUUAGUCUUCUAGAAUUUAAAUUAUCAAUAUGUAA
This is a non-coding RNA of Caenorhabditis elegans, 150 nucleotides long. The record is from Ensembl. Lineage: Eukaryota; Metazoa; Nematoda; Chromadorea; Rhabditida; Rhabditidae.